GAGUUUGAUCCUGGACUCGGGAUAAACGCUGGCGGCGUGCAUAACACAUGCAAGUCGAACGAUGAAACUUAACUGAUUUCUUCGGAAUGAUUUUAAGUGGAUUAGUGGCGGACGGGUGAGUAACGCGUGAGUAACCUGCCUUGCACAAGGGGAUAGCCGUUGGAAACGACGAAUAAUACCCUAUGAUAUAAACUCUUCGCAUGAAGAGCUUAUCAAAGAUUUAUCGGUGUAAGAUGGACUCGCGUCUGAUUAGCUAGUUGGUGGGAUAAAAGCCUACCAAGGCAACGAUCAGUAGCCGGCUUGAGAGAGUGUACGGCCACAUUGGGACUGAGACACGGCCCAGACUCCUACGGGAGGCAGCAGUGGGGAAUUUUGCACAAUGGGGGAAAUCCUGAUGCAGCGACGCCGCGUGAUUUAGAAGGCCUUCGGGUUGUAAAAAUCUUUUGUAUGGGAAGAAAAUGACAGUACCAUACGAAUAAGGACCGGCUAAUUACGUG
This 497-nucleotide ribosomal RNA is filed under the name uncultured Anaerococcus sp. RNAcentral's name for it is "bacterial SSU rRNA". It matches the Rfam family "Bacterial small subunit ribosomal RNA", at positions 9 to 507 of the family's 1533-position model. Lineage: Bacteria; Bacillati; Bacillota; Tissierellia; Tissierellales; Peptoniphilaceae. The record is from RNAcentral.